UAGCUGAUAGAGCCUACUAUAAACCUAGGCUAUAUCGCAUAGCCUAGCGCUCCUAGGCUACAAACCUGGACAGCAUGUUACCAUACUGAAUUAUGUGCGCAACUGUAACACAAUGUGAUCUUGCAGAACUGCUAGUCUUUUUGUAUUCUUCCCUCCACAAGAACCUCCUUUAGACGUCCUUCACUUCCAGGAUCCAGUCCAAACUCCUGGGCUUGGCACAUGAACCCUCCAUCAUCUGGCACCUGGCAGCCCACAUGCUGGAGCCUCACGGAUUUGCUCAUCGCCCUCUGAACACCUGUGGCCUUCUCACUCCUCUGUGUCUUUGCACAUCCUUUCCCCAACCUCAUGCCAGGCCAUUGCAUUGUGAUCCAGGCUCAGUCUUCGUUCUGCUUCGUGGCAUCACAGUCCCUUAUUUGAAACUGAACCAGGACUGCAGUCUUCGACUUUGACAUCAAAUUUGACACCUCAGUGGCCCAAGCUUUCAGAAACUUGGAAUUGCAGACAUUAUGGAUUUGGACCUGCCCUCAGAAGAGCUACCUACUGAAAUAUUUACAAGUGAAAUGAUGUGAGAUGUGGGAUUUGAUUCAAAAUGAUCCUUUAUGUAUGAAGAGUGGGGCGUGGAGAAUGCAUGAAGAUACAGAUAAAAUAAACGUGUCUAUGGGUUAAUA
Molecule: long non-coding RNA, 668 nt
Filed under: Homo sapiens (human)
Lineage: Eukaryota; Metazoa; Chordata; Mammalia; Primates; Hominidae
Description: HSALNT0354300
Source: RNAcentral